This 274-nucleotide ribosomal RNA is filed under the name uncultured bacterium. RNAcentral describes it as "partial 16S ribosomal RNA". It matches the Rfam family "Bacterial small subunit ribosomal RNA", at positions 523 to 796 of the family's 1533-position model. The record is from RNAcentral.
GUACGGAGGAUGCAAGCGUUAUCCGGAUUUAUUGGGUUUAAAGGGUGCGCAGGCGGAAAAUUAAGUCAGUGGUGAAAUCCUACAGCUUAACUGUAGAACUGCCAUUGAUACUGAUUUUCUUGAGUGCAGUUGAGGUAGGCGGAAUGUGUAAUGUAGCGGUGAAAUGCUUAGAUAUUACACAGAACACCGAUUGCGUAGGCAGCUUACUAAACUGUUACUGACGCUCAGGCACGAAAGCGUGGGGAGCGAACAGGAUUAGAAACCCCUGUAGUCC